UGACCUCGGAUCAGGUAGGAGGACCCGCUG
This 30-nucleotide ribosomal RNA is filed under the name Mycothermus thermophilus. Its description in RNAcentral is "partial 28S ribosomal RNA". Lineage: Eukaryota; Fungi; Ascomycota; Sordariomycetes; Sordariales; Chaetomiaceae. The record is from RNAcentral.